This is a long non-coding RNA of Camellia sinensis, 486 nucleotides long. RefSeq lists it as uncharacterized. NCBI's taxonomy places the organism in Eukaryota, Viridiplantae, Streptophyta, Magnoliopsida, Ericales, Theaceae. The record is from RefSeq and is a predicted model, not a curated record.
UACAGACUCCAAAUGAGAGAGACCUAAGUCGAAUCAGAGACUGAAGCUAAGAACCUAAAGCCGAAGUCAAGGACGAGAGGCCUCUAGAGAGAGAGACGAACCACAAAGACGAAGCGACAAAGAAAACAAACUAGAUCCAAUCUCAGAUGGAUUGUGAAUCGAAGAUGACGAGCUGCGAUUCGAAGCAGAUAGGUCACGAUUGAGAGAGAAAUCCUAGGAGGCAUGGAACAACAACUGAAAUAGAGAUGGCUCAUGAUCCCGACACUGGGUAGAUCGCGAUUCCGACGAGACCAGAUGCUGAUUGCGAGUCUGGUACAAUCGCGACUCCAGAGAACCACAAACGAGAAGUCUAUAAAUUAAAAAAGAAAGAGCAUCGAAACAGAGAAAACUUCGAAACUUUGAACCAGAGACGACUUCGAAUGAUUAAAGGCAGAGCUAGGGUUUCACACACGGCUCUGAUACCAUAUUCAGGGAGAGAAAGAAAAA